GCCUUCAUGGUUUAGUGGUCAGCACGCUCGGUGCGUAAACCGAGAGGUCCUUGGUUCGAUUCCCGGCGAAGGCG
This is a non-coding RNA of Stegodyphus mimosarum, 74 nucleotides long. The record is from Rfam. Lineage: Eukaryota; Metazoa; Arthropoda; Arachnida; Araneae; Eresidae.